UAUCUCUGUAGAGUCUGCAUAUCAAUAAGCGGAGGAAAAGAAACUAACAAGGAUUCCCCUAGUAACGGCGAGUGAAGCGGGAAGAGCUCAAAUUUGAAAUCUUCAAGGUUUGACCUUGACGAAUUGUAGUUUAAAGAAGUGUUUUCGGUUAGAGGAGUAGUAAAAGUUCUUUGGAAUAGGACAUCAUAGAGGGUGAGAAUCCCGUAUUUGACUAUUCUUUCUAGCUUUGUGAUACACUUUCAAAGAGUCGGAUUGUUUGGGAAUGCAGUCCAAAAUGGGUGGUAAAUUUCAUCUAAAGCUAAAUAUUGGCGAGAGACCGAUAGCGAACAAGUACCGUGAGGGAAAGAUGAAAAGAACUUUGAAAAGAGAGUUAAACAGUACGUGAAAUUGUCAAAAGGGAAGCGUUUGACACCAGUGUUGUUUUUCUGAAAAUCAAUUAAAAAUUGACUUCAUGCCAGGUUGUAUUGACCUUAUCAGCUUGCAAUUUGGUUUUGGGUCUCUUUUUGAUGCACUUUUCGGUUAACAAGUCAACAUCAAUUUCCUUUGCUGUAAAAAGGUAAGAGGAAGGUGGCUUCAAUUUCGGUUGAAGUGUUUAUAGCCUUUUAUCUCUGCAGUCGGGGAGAUUGAGGUCUGCAGCGUAGAUCCUUCGGGGCUAGAUACAUUUAUGCUAAGUUAUAGCUUUUCAUAGACAACUUGUUGACUAUGUUUAGUCAUGUAGCUUACUCGUAAGUGCUAUUUUACCUACGCUUAGGAUGUUGA
Molecule: ribosomal RNA, 759 nt
Filed under: uncultured Neocallimastigales
Lineage: Eukaryota; Fungi; Neocallimastigomycota; Neocallimastigomycetes; Neocallimastigales
Description: partial large subunit ribosomal RNA
Rfam family: Eukaryotic large subunit ribosomal RNA
Source: RNAcentral